RNAcentral lists this ribosomal RNA (1370 nucleotides) under uncultured bacterium. RNAcentral describes it as "bacterial SSU rRNA". It matches the Rfam family "Bacterial small subunit ribosomal RNA". The record is from RNAcentral.
UAGAGUUUGAUCUGGCUCAGAACGAACGCUGGCGGCGUGGAUAAGACAUGCAAGUCGAACGAGAGAAUUGCUAGCUUGCUAAUAAUUCUCUAGUGGCGCACGGGUGAGUAACACGUGAGUAACCUGCCCCCGAGAGCGGGAUAGCCCUGGGAAACUGGGAUUAAUACCGCAUAGUAUCGAAAGAUUAAAGCAGCAAUGCGCUUGGGGAUGGGCUCGCGGCCUAUUAGUUAGUUGGUGAGGUAACGGCUCACCAAGGCGAUGACGGGUAGCCGGUCUGAGAGGAUGUCCGGCCACACUGGAACUGAGACACGGUCCAGACACCUACGGGUGGCAGCAGUCGAGAAUCAUUCACAAUGGGGGAAACCCUGAUGGUGCGACGCCGCGUGGGGGAAUGAAGGUCUUCGGAUUGUAAACCCCUGUCAUGUGGGAGCAAAUUAAAAAGAUAGUACCACAAGAGGAAGAGACGGCUAACUCUGUGCCAGCAGCCGCGGUAAUACAGAGGUCUCAAGCGUUGUUCGGAAUCACUGGGCGUAAAGCGUGCGUAGGCUGUUUCGUAAGUCGUGUGUGAAAGGCGCGGGCUCAACCCGCGGACGGCACAUGAUACUGCGAGACUAGAGUAAUGGAGGGGGAACCGGAAUUCUCGGUGUAGCAGUGAAAUGCGUAGAUAUCGAGAGGAACACUCGUGGCGAAGGCGGGUUCCUGGACAUUAACUGACGCUGAGGCACGAAGGCCAGGGGAGCGAAAGGGAUUAGAUACCCCUGUAGUCCUGGCAGUAAACGGUGCACGCUUGGUGUGCGGGGAAUCGACCCCCUGCGUGCCGGAGCUAACGCGUUAAGCGUGCCGCCUGGGGAGUACGGUCGCAAGAUUAAAACUCAAAGAAAUUGACGGGGACCCGCACAAGCGGUGGAGUAUGUGGCUUAAUUCGAUGCAACGCGAAGAACCUUACCUGGGCUUGACAUGUAAUGAACAACAUGUGAAAGCAUGCGACUCUUCGGAGGCGUUACACAGGUGCUGCAUGGCCGUCGUCAGCUCGUGUCGUGAGAUGUUUGGUUAAGUCCAGCAACGAGCGCAACCCCUGUUGCCAGUUACCAGCACGUGAAGGUGGGGACUCUGGCGAGACUGCCCAGAUCAACUGGGAGGAAGGUGGGGACGACGUCAGGUCAGUAUGGCCCUUAUGCCCAGGGCUGCACACGUACUACAAUGCCCAGUACAGAGGGGGCCGAAGCCGCGAGGCGGAGGAAAUCCUAAAAACUGGGCCCAGUUCGGACUGUAGGCUGCAACCCGCCUACACGAAGCCGGAAUCGCUAGUAAUGGCGCAUCAGCUACGGCGCCGUGAAUACGUUCCCGGGUCUUGUACUCACCGCCCGUCA